Molecule: small nucleolar RNA, 128 nt
Organism: Otolemur garnettii (small-eared galago)
Lineage: Eukaryota; Metazoa; Chordata; Mammalia; Primates; Galagidae
Source: Ensembl
GGGGUGUGCUCAGAGCAGGGGGGCAUAAGAAUGGUUCCUCUAUUUAUAAAACACCCGACAGGAAUCUAGGAUCAUUGUGAUGAGGGCACAAAAUUUGUGGCCUCCCUACAAACAAAUUCCCUAUGUAU